RNAcentral lists this ribosomal RNA (502 nucleotides) under uncultured Actinomycetes bacterium. RNAcentral describes it as "bacterial SSU rRNA". It matches the Rfam family "Bacterial small subunit ribosomal RNA", at positions 8 to 522 of the family's 1533-position model. The record is from RNAcentral. Lineage: Bacteria; Bacillati; Actinomycetota; Actinomycetes.
AGAGUUUGAUCAUGGCUCAGGACGAACGCUGGCGGCGUGCUUAACACAUGCAAGUCGAGCGAGGCCCACACCUUCGGGUGUGGUGCCCUAGCGGCGAACGGGUGAGUAACACGUGGGCAACCUGCCCCUAGCACUGGGAUAAGCCCGGGAAACCGGGUCUAAUACCGGAUAUGACGUCGGAGGGCAUCCUCCGGCGUGGAAAGGAUUCUGGCUAGGGAUGGGCCCGCGGCCUAUCAGCUUGUUGGUGGGGUAAUGGCCCACCAAGGCGACGACGGGUAGCCGGCCUGAGAGGGCGACCGGCCACACUGGGACUGAGACACGGCCCAGACUCCUACGGGAGGCAGCAGUGGGGAAUAUUGCACAAUGGGCGAAAGCCUGAUGCAGCGACGCCGCGUGAGGGAUGACGGCCUUCGGGUUGUAAACCUCUUUCAGCUCCGACGAAGCGAAAGUGACGGUAGGGGCAGAAGAAGCACCGGCCAACUACGUGCCAGCAGCCGCGGUA